This 224-nucleotide ribosomal RNA is filed under the name uncultured bacterium. RNAcentral describes it as "partial 16S ribosomal RNA". It matches the Rfam family "Bacterial small subunit ribosomal RNA", at positions 1277 to 1500 of the family's 1533-position model. The record is from RNAcentral.
GAAAUAACGUCCCAGUUCGGAUUGUAGUCUGCAACCCGACUACAUGAAGCUGGAAUCGCUAGUAAUCGCGAAUCAGAAUGUCGCGGUGAAUACGUUCCCGGGUCUUGUACACACCGCCCGUCACACCAUGGGAGUCGGAAAUGCCCGAAGUCAGUGACCCAACCGUAAGGAGGGAGCUGCCGAAGGUGGAGCCGGUAACUGGGGUGAAGUCGUAACAAGGUAAC